This 84-nucleotide microRNA precursor is filed under the name Bombyx mori (domestic silkworm). RNAcentral's name for it is "mir-2807 microRNA precursor family". It matches the Rfam family "mir-2807 microRNA precursor family". Lineage: Eukaryota; Metazoa; Arthropoda; Insecta; Lepidoptera; Bombycidae. The record is from Rfam by way of RNAcentral.
UCAACUCAAAUUUGUAUGCAGUUGGAACAGCGCCCCUAGCGGCAAACGUAGGCAAACGUUCUAACCCCAUACAAAUUUAUGUUA